CUCAGAACUUUGUGUGCAAGUUACUGGACCGAAGUCAUGGAGCAGUUUGGACCACUACAGCUCCACCAAGUGAACCUUUGACUUUAAUAUCUAUUGGACAAGACAAUUACAAGGUACGAUGCAACUUCAAAAGAUCGGAGUCACAGAUUGUACAGGGAAAUUAUCACAUCAGACUCAAUUCCAAAUGAUAAGGAUGAAGAAUGUUUAUCACUCCCCACCAUUCAAUGGGAAACACUUGCUUCCAAUCUUGAAGAUGUUUCAAAAGUAGUUGAAAAAUUUGCAAUCAGCAAGUCUGCUGUAGAAGUUGCUGUUAGCAUGAAACUUCAAGAUGAUGUUAUUCCUGCUCUUGAAAAGCUUCGGAAGG
Long non-coding RNA from Glycine soja, 364 nucleotides. RefSeq lists it as uncharacterized. Lineage: Eukaryota; Viridiplantae; Streptophyta; Magnoliopsida; Fabales; Fabaceae. The record is from RefSeq and is a predicted model, not a curated record. The transcript is spliced from 3 exons.